Molecule: ribosomal RNA, 496 nt
Filed under: uncultured bacterium
Lineage: Bacteria
Description: bacterial SSU rRNA
Rfam family: Bacterial small subunit ribosomal RNA
Source: RNAcentral
UGGCUCAGGAUGAACGCUAGCGGCAGGCUUAAUACAUGCAAGUCGUGGGGCAGCAGGUUUGUAGCAAUACAGAUGCUGGCGACCGGCAAACGGGUGCGGAACACGUACAGAACCUUCCUUUGAGCGGGGAAUAGCCCAGAGAAAUUUGGAUUAAUACCCCAUAGUAUAAUGAAGUGGCAUCACUUUAUUAUUAAAGAUUUAUCACUCGAAGAUGGCUGUGCGGCUGAUUAGGUAGUUGGCGGGGUAAAGGCCCACCAAGCCUGCGAUCAGUAACUGGUGUGAGAGCACGACCAGUCACACGGGCACUGAGACACGGGCCCGACUCCUACGGGAGGCAGCAGUAAGGAAUAUUGGUCAAUGGAGGCAACUCUGAACCAGCCAUGCCGCGUGGAGGAUGAAGGUCCUCUGGAUUGUAAACCUCUUUUAUAUGGGACGAAAAAAGGCUUUUCUAAGUCGUCUGACGGUACCAUAUGAAUAAGCACCGGCUAACUCCGUG